Molecule: ribosomal RNA, 173 nt
Filed under: uncultured Micromonospora sp.
Lineage: Bacteria; Bacillati; Actinomycetota; Actinomycetes; Micromonosporales; Micromonosporaceae
Description: partial 16S ribosomal RNA
Rfam family: Bacterial small subunit ribosomal RNA
Source: RNAcentral
CCUACGGGAGGCAGCAGUGGGGAAUAUUGCACAAUGGGCGAAAGCCUGAUGCAGCGACGCCGCGUGAGGGAUGACGGCCUUCGGGUUGUAAACCUCUUUCAGCUACGACGAAGCGUGAGUGACGGUAGUAGCAGAAGAAGCACCGGCCAACUACGUGCCAGCAGCCGCGGUAA